RNAcentral lists this ribosomal RNA (177 nucleotides) under uncultured low G+C Gram-positive bacterium. Its description in RNAcentral is "partial 16S ribosomal RNA". It matches the Rfam family "Bacterial small subunit ribosomal RNA", at positions 355 to 524 of the family's 1533-position model. Lineage: Bacteria; Bacillati; Bacillota. The record is from RNAcentral.
UAGGGAAUUUUCGGCAAUGGGGGAAACCCUGACCGAGCAAUGCCGCGUGAACUAUGAAGGUCUUCGGAUCGUAAGGUUCUGUUAUUGGGAAAGAAAUGCAUAAUUAGGAAAUGAGUUAUGCUUGACGGUACCUGAUGAGAAAGCCCCGGCUAACUAUGUGCCAGCAGCCGCGGUAAU